AUGAAGGGCAAUCAUAAAACUAAGGUACAUGUAAAACAAUUAUCUUUACUGGAGGUCUGCAAAAAACCACUUUUUUAAACAAUUCAAUUCCUUAGAAAGCAUAAACUUAAGCCAUGAAUCAAUUAUUCAAUGAUCCUUUAAUUUUGUCUUGGGUUUGACAAUAAGAAAAAAAAAUAUUGACCUAAAUUUUGCUCUUUGGGGGUCUAGCCAAAGUGCAUUAAUAUUUUACAAAAGUCAAUUUAGGCUAGCUUUGGAAUGUCUUUAUAAGUAUUCCUGGGUUUGGUGAUAUCUGGAUGUGGGAAGCCUUGCCCUGGAAGGUCCAAACUUGGCUUAUUUUCAUAUCAUGCUUUAAAGAUCGUAAGCCAAAUGUCAGGGAUUUGAAAAAUUCUCCUCUCUAAUGACAUGUAGUUCUUUGACCUUUUUGAAAUUUGUAACAUUAUAGACCAAAGGUCAAUCAAAGUUAAUGAUGUCAUUGUACAGUUGGUUCUAACUUCUUACUCAGGGAAGUAAUGACAUAACAAAUGUCUUUAACAUAAAUCACUGCAAUUACUAUAUAAUUUCAAACCAAUUUCCUACUAGUAAAACAGUUUGUUAUUGUUUGUGUCCUUAUACUUUACCAUAUUAAGAUAUUUAGAAAAAAAGUGUGUCUGUGUAACCUGUAAGAGCACCUUGUGUAAGUGGAGGUGUUUUAUACUAAUUACUGGUGAUGAAAAUGCUUUUUUCUGUAUAUUUUUAUAAUAUCCUCACUUACCAACUGAUUACUGAUGUAGAAGAAAGUAUGUGGUGCAUUAAACACAAACAGAUGGUUUUUUAUACGACCGCAAAUUUUGAAAAAAUUUUCGUCGUAUAUUGCUAUCACGUUGGCGUCUGCGUCGUCGUCGUCGUCGUCGUCGUCGUCGUCGUCGUCGUCGUCGUCGUCGUCGUCCGUCGUCCGAAUACUUUUAGUUUUCGCACUCUAACUUUAGUAAAAGUGAAUGGAAAUCUAUGAAAUUUUAACACAAGGUUUAUGACCACAAAAGGAAGGUUGGUAUUGAUUUUGGGAGUUUUGGUCCCAACAUUUUAGGAAUUAGGGGCCAAAAAGGGCCCAAAUAAGCAUUUUCUUGGUUUUCGCACAAUAACAUUAGUUUAAGUAAAUAGAAAUCAAUGAAAUUUAAACACAAUGUUAAUGACUACAAAAGGAAGGUUGGUAUUGAUUUUGGGAGUUUAGGUCCCAACAGUUUAGGAAUUAGGGGCCAAAAAGGGACCCAAAUAAGCAUUUUUCUUGGUUUUCGCACCAUAACAUUAGUAUAAGUAAAUAGAAAUCUAUGAAAUUUAAACACAAGGUUUAUGACCAUAAAAGAAAGGUUGGGUUUGAUUUUGGGAGUUUUGGUCCCAACAUAAUAAGGGGCCCAAAGGGUCCAAAAUUAAACUUUUGUUGAUUUCAUCAAAAUUGAAUAAUUGGGGUUCUUUGAUAUGCUGAAUCUAACUGUCAUGACUGUGUAUGUAGAUUCUUAACUUUUGGUCCCGUUUUCAAAUUGGUCUACAUUAAGGUCCAAAGGGUCCAAAAUUAAACUUUGUUUGAUUUUGACAAAAAAUGAAUCAGUUAGGUUCUUUGAUAUGCUGAAUCUAAAAAUGUACUUAGAUUCUUGAUUAUUGGCCCAGUUUUCAAGUUGGUCCAAAUCGGGGUCCAAAAUUAAAUUUUGUUUGAUUUCAUCAAAAAUUGAAUAAAUGGGGUUCUUUGAUAUUCCAAAUCUAACUGUGUAUGUAGAUUCUUCAUUUUUGGUCCUGUUUUCAAAUUGGUCUACACUAAAGUCCAAAGGGUCCAAAAUUAAACUUAGUCUGAUUUUAACAAAAAUUGAAAUCUUGAAGUUCUUUGAUAUGCUGAAUCCAAAAAUGUACUUAGAUUUUUUAUUAUGGGCCCAGUUUUCAAGUUGGUCCAAAUCAGGAUCUAAAAUUAUUAUAUUAAGUAUUGUGUAAUAGCAAGUCUUUUCAAUUGCACAGUAUUGCGCAAUGGCAAGAAAUAUCUAAUUGCACAAUAUUGUGAAAUAUCAAAUUUUUUUUUAAUUAGAGUUAUCUUUCUUUGUCCAGAAUAGUAAGCAAGAAAUAUCUAAUUGCAAAAUAUUGUGCAAUAGCAAGAUUUUUUUUUAAUUGGAGUUAUCUUUCUUUGUCCAGAAUCAACUUAAAUCUUUGUUAUAUACAAUAUACAAUGUAUAUUCACUUUUUACUACCAACUGAUAAAUUAAAAUAAUCUUUACCAUUCAGUGAUAACAAGCAGUUUUUUUACAUCUUAAUAUUUUAUGAUGUAUUUAAAUGAGUAGUUAUUGUUGCAAACUCCAUUAGAAAUUUUAAUUGAGAUUAGUUUUGGAAUAAGGGAAAGGGGGAUGUGAUUAAAAAAAUUGGGUUCAAUUUUUCUCAUUUGAAAUUUCAUAAAUAAAAAAGAAAAUUUCUUCAAACAUUUUUUUGAGAGGAUUAAUAUUCAACAGCAUAGUGAAUAGCUCUAAGAGAAACAAAAAUUUUAAGUUCAUUAGAACACAUUCAUUCUGUGUCAGAAACCUAUGCUGUGUCAACUAUUUAAUCACAAUCCAAAUUUAGAGCUGAAUCCAGCUUGAAUGUUGUGUCCAUACUUGCCCUAACCGUUCAGGGUUCAACCUCUGCGGUCGUAUAAAGCUUUGCCCUGCGGAGCAUCUGGUUGGUCCUGUUUUCAAAUUGGUCUACACUAAAGUCCAAAGGGUCCAAAAUUAAACUUAGUCUGAUUUUAACAAAAAUUGAAAUCUUGGGGUUCUUUGAUAUGCUGAAUCCAAAAAAGUACUUAGAUUUUUUAUUAUGGGCCCAGUUUUCAAGUUGGUCCAAAUCAGGAUCUAAAAUUAUUAUAUUAAGUAUUGUGCAAUAGCAAGUCUUUUCAAUUGCACAGUAUUGCGCAACGGCAAGAAAUAUCUAAUUGCACAAUAUUGUGAAAUAGCAAAUUUUUUUUUAAUUAGAGUUAUCUUUCUUUGUCCAGAAUAGUAAGCAAGAAAUAUCUAAUUGCAAAAUAUUGUGCAAUAGCAAGAUUUUUUUUUAAUUGGAGUUAUCUUUCUUUGUCCAGAAUCAACUUAAAUCUUUGUUAUAUACAAUAUACAAUGUAUAUUCACUUUUUACUACCAACUGAUAAAUUAAAAUAAUCUUUACCAUUCAGUGAUAACAAGCAGUUUUUUUACAUCUUAAUAUUUUAUGAUGUAUUUAAAUGAGUAGUUAUUGUUGCAAACUCCAUUAGAAAUUUUAAUUGAGAUUAGUUUUGGAAUAAGGGAAAGGGGGAUGUGAUUAAAAAAAUUGGGUUCAAUUUUUCUCAUUUGAAAUUUCAUAAAUAAAAAAGAAAAUUUCUUCAAACAUUUUUUUGAGAGGAUUAAUAUUCAACAGCAUAGUGAAUUGCUCUAAGAGAAAACAAAAAUUUUAAGUUCAUUAGAACACAUUCAUUCUGUGUCAGAAACCUAUGCUGUGUCAACUAUUUAAUCACAAUCCAAAUUUAGAGCUGAAUCCAGCUUGAAUGUUGUGUCCAUACUUUCCCCAACCGUUCAGGGUUCAACCUCUGCGGUCGUAUAAAGCUACGCCCUGCGGAGCAUCUGGUUACAUACUGACUUAUCUCACUGACCUUGAACAAUGGUUUGUAAGGUUGUGUAAGGAUACAACUUCAGGUUAUUUGUUUAACAGCAGUAGCAACAGUAAAGUCAACAAACAGAGUUAAUAUAUAUGUCUCCUCUAUGAGUCCUUAUGUUUUAUAGCUGUUGCUGUACUAAUACCUGCAGCUAGAAUCUGCUAGAGCGUACACAAUUUUGAUCAGUUCUAAUUUUAUGUCUGAUAGUCAUUCACGGGUGUUGCUUAUAGUAAGACCUAAGACUUUUCUUUGCCCAGUCCCUCUCAUGCCUUAUAGCUGUUGGCACCAAAAAAACUUAAUGCUAGAGGAGACAGACUUUCAGAUUAUAGGACCCCUUUCUACUGCUGAUAUGGGUAUUGUUUUCUCCAGUGUCCCCUUAUAUUUCACAAUACCAUACUUGAGAAUAUUACAUUUAUAAUUCAGUUUUUUGUCAUCUCCGUUUCUAAUCACAUUUACCAAUGCUUUAUAGAAUAUUUUCAGAUCUCCAAUACCUUCUGGGAUUAACUUAUGGAAAUGGCGUUUUUUCCCCUCAACUACUUGAAAUUGAAAUGCCUCAUUUGCAAUAAUUUGUAAAAUGAAUAGAAUAGAAUGAAAAGCUGUUGAAAUAAAUGAGUGGGUGAGGUAUUAUAUAACAACACUCAAAUGUAUAUUUUUUUUAUUCCCUGAACUUUAAACUGAAAUAGAUUUAACACCAUGAACAUAGUGUUUUAUAACCGU
RNAcentral lists this long non-coding RNA (4324 nucleotides) under Mytilus galloprovincialis (Mediterranean mussel). Lineage: Eukaryota; Metazoa; Mollusca; Bivalvia; Mytilida; Mytilidae. The record is from RNAcentral.